GAAACUCAACCGAAAGACUCCAGAGAGCAGAAGAUGGAAGGAGACUUCUCGGUGUGCAGGAACUGCAAAAGACAUGUAGCCUCUGCCCACUUCACUCUCCAUGAGGCUUACUGCCUGCGGUUCCUGGUCCUGUGUCCGGAGUGUGAGGAGCCUGUCCCCAAGGAAACCAUGGAGGAGCACUGCAAGGUUGAGCACCAGCAGGUGAGGAGGCGGCAGGGAGGAUGGGGUCUGGGAGUCAAGGCUUAUGGAUCUGGCAUAGGCAAGAGGUUCUGGUUUCAGGAAAGACUGGCUGUUCUCUUGAGAUCUGUAAAGAGAGGAUGUGAAAAAGGAAGGUCCUGAAAGGCAGUCAGAUGGAGCCCUGUUUCCCACCUUUCCAUGUCCAUUCCUCCUGGGGCCCCUGAUCUGUCUCUCUGGAGAUACUGAAGCUCAGGCAGCCAUUGCCAACUCAGACUGGUCUGACAAACACUUCUUGAACACUGGGCUGGGUGCUAGAGAGAGACUGAGGUAGCCACACCGGAUCCCUGCCCUCUGGGAGUUCACA
This 541-nucleotide small RNA is filed under the name Pongo abelii (Sumatran orangutan). Its description in RNAcentral is "processed transcript". The record is from RNAcentral. Lineage: Eukaryota; Metazoa; Chordata; Mammalia; Primates; Hominidae.